This 503-nucleotide ribosomal RNA is filed under the name uncultured bacterium. RNAcentral's name for it is "partial 16S ribosomal RNA". It matches the Rfam family "Bacterial small subunit ribosomal RNA", at positions 29 to 522 of the family's 1533-position model. The record is from RNAcentral.
AUUGAACGCUGGCGGCAGGCCUAACACAUGCAAGUCGGACGGUAGCACAGAGAGCUUGCUCUUGGGUGACGAGUGGCGGACGGGUGAGUAAUGUCUGGGGAUCUGCCCGAUAGAGGGGGAUAACCACUGGAAACGGUGGCUAAUACCGCAUAACGUCGCAAGACCAAAGAGGGGGACCUUCGGGCCUCUCACUAUCGGAUGAACCCAGAUGGGAUUAGCUAGUAGGCGGGGUAAUGGCCCACCUAGGCGACGAUCCCUAGCUGGUCUGAGAGGAUGACCAGCCACACUGGAACUGAGACACGGUCCAGACUCCUACGGGAGGCAGCAGUGGGGAAUAUUGCACAAUGGGCGCAAGCCUGAUGCAGCCAUGCCGCGUGUAUGAAGAAGGCCUUCGGGUUGUAAAGUACUUUCAGCGGGGAGGAAGGCGGUACGGUUAAUAACCGUACCGAUUGACGUUACCCGCAGAAGAAGCACCGGCUAACUCCGUGCCAGCAGCCGCGUAA